This 50-nucleotide ribosomal RNA is filed under the name Nematanthus lanceolatus. RNAcentral describes it as "partial 28S ribosomal RNA". Lineage: Eukaryota; Viridiplantae; Streptophyta; Magnoliopsida; Lamiales; Gesneriaceae. The record is from RNAcentral.
CUGCGACCCCAGGUCAGGCGGGAUCACCCGUUGAGUUUAAGCAUAUCAAU